UACGGGGGGUGCGAGCGUUGUCCGGAAUCACUGGGCGUAAAGGGCGCGUAGGUGGUUUGAUAAGGGCGUGGUGAAAGCCCGGGGCUCAACCCCGGGUCUGCCGUGCCGACUGUCAAACUCGAGGGCUGUAGAGGCAGACGGAAUUCCGGGUGUAGCGGUGGAAUGCGUAGAGAUCCGGAGGAAGACCGGUGGCGAAGGCGGUCUGCUGGGCAGUUUCUGACACUGAUGCGCGACAGCGUGGGGAGCAAACAGG
Molecule: ribosomal RNA, 253 nt
Filed under: uncultured bacterium
Lineage: Bacteria
Description: partial 16S ribosomal RNA
Rfam family: Bacterial small subunit ribosomal RNA
Source: RNAcentral